GGAGGGGUGGCAGAGCGGUUGAAUGCGGCGGUCUUGAAAACCGUUGGGCGCUCAGCGUCCCGAGAGUUCGAAUCUCUCCCCCUCCGCCA
Molecule: transfer RNA, 89 nt
Filed under: Candidatus Coprovicinus avistercoris
Lineage: Bacteria; Bacillati; Actinomycetota; Coriobacteriia; Coriobacteriales; Coriobacteriaceae
Description: tRNA-Ser
Rfam family: tRNA
About the family: Transfer RNA (tRNA) molecules are approximately 80 nucleotides in length.
Source: RNAcentral